RNAcentral lists this ribosomal RNA (325 nucleotides) under uncultured eukaryote. RNAcentral's name for it is "partial 18S ribosomal RNA". It matches the Rfam family "Eukaryotic small subunit ribosomal RNA", at positions 1470 to 1796 of the family's 1831-position model. The record is from RNAcentral.
CCCUUAGAUGUUCUGGGCCGCACGCGCGCUACACUGAUGCAUUCAACGAGCCUAUCCUUGACCGACAGGUCCGGGUAAUCUUUGAAUCUGCAUCGUGACGGGGAUAGAUUAUUGCAAUUAUUAAUCUUCAACGAGGAAUGCCUAGUAGGCGCAAGUCAUCAGCUUGCGUCGAUUACGUCCCUGCCCUUUGUACACACCGCCCGUCGCUCCUACCGAUUGGGUGUGCUGGUGAAAUGUUCGGAUCGGCCGUUUGUCGCGGUUUCCGCGGCUCGUGGCUGAGAAGUUCAUUAAACCCUCCCGCCUAGAGGAAGGAGAAGUCGUAACA